This is a non-coding RNA of Aegilops tauschii subsp. strangulata, 547 nucleotides long. The record is from RefSeq and is a predicted model, not a curated record. Lineage: Eukaryota; Viridiplantae; Streptophyta; Magnoliopsida; Poales; Poaceae.
CACAAGGGAGGCUGGAGCGACUGCAGAUCGGUGACAAGAGCCACUUCAGUUCUGUUGUUCGUGUAUUGGAAGUACGUAUCCUCUAUCCGGGCAGGAGAUAGAGAACAAAAAUAAGAUGUAUAGGUUACUUCUUGGCCCAGAUGAGAGAACCCUCAUGUUGAAAAGUAUAAAGAAGUUCUGAAGCAAUUCCUAGUGUCUUUAGAAGCAUUCAUGUUUAAAAGCAACGGCAAUCUCCUCCGUUCAAGUUGAGCACUGGUCAUCGUCCAAGUUGAGCGCUAGAUGCCGUCCAAGUUCAAAGAUGAUUGUAUGCAAGUACAGAAGUUUGUUUUAGUGAGAAAAAAUGCGGGUUUUUGGACAAUAUUAUGUAUGUUUGAUUUGCUCAACCUUAGAACUUGGAGAUAUCCACUCUAUUUUUCUAUGAUGAAGGCACACAUGAGAUCAUGUGCAAUGGUUAUUCCCCUAUUUUGUUUCUUCAAAUGUGUAUUUUGUUUCUUAUAAUGUGUUGUUCCCUUGUUCGAUGAGGUAAAACAAAGAAAAAUAGUGAAAA